RNAcentral lists this signal recognition particle RNA (299 nucleotides) under Cebus imitator (Panamanian white-faced capuchin). Its description in RNAcentral is "Metazoan signal recognition particle RNA (ENSCCAG00000007621.1)". It matches the Rfam family "Metazoan signal recognition particle RNA". Rfam says of the family: The signal recognition particle (SRP) is a universally conserved ribonucleoprotein. Lineage: Eukaryota; Metazoa; Chordata; Mammalia; Primates; Cebidae. The record is from RNAcentral.
GCUGGGCGCAGUGGUGCGUACCUGUGGUCCCAGCUACUCAGGAGGCUGAGACUGGAGGACCUCUUGAGCCCAAGAGUUCCGGGCUAUAGUGCGCUAUGCCAAUUGGGUGUCCGCACUAAGUUCAGCAUCAAUAUAUGGUACCUCCCAGGAGCAGGGCCCACCAGGUUGCCUAAGGAGGGGUAAACCAGCCCAGGUUGGAAACGGAGCAGGUCAAAACUCUCAUGCUGAUCAGCAGUGGUAUCACACCUGUGAAUAGCCACUGCACUCCAGCCUGGGUGACAUAGUGCGACCCUGUCCUU